This is a long non-coding RNA of Octopus sinensis (East Asian common octopus), 179 nucleotides long. RefSeq lists it as uncharacterized. Lineage: Eukaryota; Metazoa; Mollusca; Cephalopoda; Octopoda; Octopodidae. The transcript has 3 exons. The record is from RefSeq and is a predicted model, not a curated record.
AUACAUAUAUAUUGUGUCAAUAACCAGCUGGAUAAGAUGUUCUCUUGGGGCUACAAGCUAUAGUAGCAUUCACCCUUAGUGGUUUGCCCGAUUUAAGUGGCAAAUAUACUUCAUGUUGUUUUGCAGCUACUGUUUAUACCUCGUUCAGAGAUUUAUUAUUGCUUAUAUAUAUAUGUAUA